GUGCCAGCCGCCGCGGUAAUACGUAGGUGGCAAGCGUUGUCCGGAAUUAUUGGGCGUAAAGCGCGCGCAGGUGGUCCUUUAAGUCUGAUGUGAAAGCCCACGGCUCAACCGUGGAGGGUCAUUGGAAACUGGGGGACUUGAGUGCAGAAGAGGAAAGUGGAAUUCCAAGUGUAGCGGUGAAAUGCGUAGAGAUUUGGAGGAACACCAGUGGCGAAGGCGACUUUCUGGUCUGUAACUGACACUGAGGCGCGAAAGCGUGGGGAGCAAACAGGAUUAGAAACCCCAGUAGUCC
Molecule: ribosomal RNA, 292 nt
Filed under: uncultured prokaryote
Description: partial 16S ribosomal RNA
Rfam family: Bacterial small subunit ribosomal RNA
Source: RNAcentral